RNAcentral lists this ribosomal RNA (500 nucleotides) under uncultured bacterium. RNAcentral describes it as "partial 16S ribosomal RNA". It matches the Rfam family "Bacterial small subunit ribosomal RNA", at positions 28 to 523 of the family's 1533-position model. The record is from RNAcentral.
GAUGAACGCUGGCGGCGUGCUUAACACAUGCAAGUCGAACGGGAAUGUUUCGCUGAUGCGAUUUCGGUCAAAUCUUGAAGCAUUUUAGUGGCGGACGGGUGAGUAACGCGUGGGUAACCUGCCCUGUACAGGGGGACAACAGUUGGAAACGACUGCUAAUACCGCAUAAGCGCACAGCUUCGCAUGAAGCAGUGUGAAAAACUCCGGUGGUACAGGAUGGACCCGCGUCUGAUUAGAUAGUUGGUGAGGUAACGGCCCACCAAGUCAACGAUCAGUAGCCGGCCUGAGAGGGCGAACGGCCACAUUGGGACUGAGACACGGCCCAAACUCCUACGGGAGGCAGCAGUGGGGAAUAUUGCACAAUGGGGGAAACCCUGAUGCAGCGACGCCGCGUGAGUGAAGAAGUAUUUCGGUAUGUAAAGCUCUAUCAGCAGGGAAGAAAACAAUGACGGUACCUGACUAAGAAGCCCCGGCUAACUACGUGCCAGCAGCCGCCGCUG